GACGUAGGGCGCGAGCGUUGUCCGGAUUUAUUGGGCGUAAAGAGCUCGUAGGCGGCUUGUCGCGUCGAAUGUGAAAACUCGGGGCUCAACUCCGAGCUUGCAUUCGAUACGGGCAGGCUAGAGUUCGGUAGGGGAGACUGGAAUUCCUGGUGUAGCGGUGAAAUGCGCUGAUAUCAGGAGGAACACCGGUGGCGAAGGCGGGUCUCUGGGCCGAUACUGACGCUGAGGAGCGAAAGCGUGGGGAGCGAACAGG
RNAcentral lists this ribosomal RNA (253 nucleotides) under uncultured bacterium. RNAcentral's name for it is "partial 16S ribosomal RNA". It matches the Rfam family "Bacterial small subunit ribosomal RNA", at positions 524 to 776 of the family's 1533-position model. The record is from RNAcentral.